RNAcentral lists this long non-coding RNA (5439 nucleotides) under Gallus gallus (chicken). The record is from RNAcentral. Lineage: Eukaryota; Metazoa; Chordata; Aves; Galliformes; Phasianidae.
GGAGAGCAGCAGGAAAACCUGCAGUUCUGAAGUGACUGUUUUUAAAGCAACUGCAGGCAGACACAAGCACGUGCUAAACGAGAACGAUGGCUGGGAUGGACCCUCACACUCAGUCAGUGACACUCUGGUCAGCACCAACUGCACACAUUAAUCUUGGUUUCAGUUUUAAGCUCACGGCACACCCCCAAGGUCACACCUGCUGCAGUCCUGGCAGUGGAUCCCAGGAAGCCCCGCACUUUACUUACAUGAAAUACAAACAUCUCGAACUAACGCUUCCAAAAAGCUGGCGUAAUGUAAGGACUUCUCAUACUGUGUGAUUUUCUCUUUUAGUAGUUUGCCAAAUUCCGUGAAGUCAUCUUUUGAGGAGGGGUUCAUGGCAUCUAUUCCACAAGCGUUAUUUACACCAAACGUUUCUUUUGCUAACUCAAGGUCUGACUCCUCUUGCAAUUUCUUUAGUCGUAGUUUGUCUGCUAACUGUUCUUCUGGUGUAAGUUCUUUAUGUUCCUCUGGAGCCUCUAACCUUUUUUUAAGCUCCUCUUGCUUUUUCUUCUGUUGCUUUUCUUUUUCUUUUAUCUUUUCUGCUAUUUUCUUUUUUUCUGACACUUUGGGUUCUUGUUUCACCUCCGCCUCCUUUACUUCCUCCUCUUCCUCCUCAUCAUCCCAGUUAUCCUUCACGUCGUCCUCCUCGUCCUCGCCGGCCCAGCGGUCGCCGGCCACCCCCGCCGGCACCAAACGCUUCGCCACCGGCUCCACCACCUCGAAGGUGUCGGCGUCCCAGGAAUCCGCCUCCGCCGCCAUCUUCCCGCGGGAGCGCGGCCGCCGGCGCGGGCACUGUGAGUCAGCCGCAGCCAGCGGACCCGGCGCGCGCCGCGCGGAGCACCGUGGGAGCGCGCCCCGCCCCUUCGGGCCGCGCGCUGCCUCUUCCCGCCAUCUUGGGAGGGCCGAGGGGACGGCCGCGCCGCCAUUUUGGGAGGGCUGAGCGGCCGCGCCGCCAUUUUGGGAGGGCUGAGCGGCCGCUCCGCCUCCGCGCUCCCCGCCCGGUCGGGGCGGUUCUCGGCGGGGCGCCGCGCGCAGCCGUCGUGUGAGGGACGCGGGAGUGUCUCUGGUCAAACGGCUCGUGGCGGGUCCUCCGACCGCUCCACGUACAGUAGAAACGUAACAACCACCAUCGCAGGAGCGCGAGCCCGCAGAACGCGGCCCCAGAGCACACCCGGCCCGGCCUGUCCUGAGGCGGAGGCCUGAGGGUGAAAGACGUGAAACCUGUGAGGACCCCGGGCUGUGGGUUUGGUCCUUGGGUAGGUGUAAAAACAAUGGGAACGGUCUUGGGAAAGCACGGAAGAAAAGCUGCGGGGAGUCUGGGAAUUACCAGCGCUCUGACCCGGAUCGCCCCCUUCGCUGCCGCAUCUCGUCCUGCUUUGCCAGGCGAUGAACAGUGAGAAAGCAGCACUGCGUCCCAAUGGCUGCCGCUCGGCAGCCCGGAGCCGUGUGGGUGCACAACCGCAGCGGUUGAGGCCCGCCGGGAGCGGCGUUACUCCCGCAGUGCACACACGGCACACACGGCAGCCUUCCUGCCGGCACGGCGCUCCCGUCCCGACACGGAACCGACUCCUCUCAGAGGACUAAGAGCCACCGAGCCAGAGGACGCUGCGGAUCCACAGCACAUUUAAACUGAAGCGCUCGGGUUACAACAGCUAAGUGCUGUUCCCAUUGUACAGAUGAGGAAGUGAAGGCACAGCUCGGAGCUGGGGGCACUUCUCUCCAGGCCUCAGGGCUGCAGCUGGGAGCACCACGCAGGACGGAGGCAGACCUGACCUGGGCACCCCACGUCUUCAGUGGAAUAUAUACUGCGUGCUGAACACCGGGUCUGCAGCAGGACUGCCCUGCAGGAACCUGCUGCUAGCAAUUACAGAAUAUUUUAUUCUCCAAUAGCCUCGGCUUUUCAAAAGCACAAACACCACUUAUUUUCCUUCAGUUUUAAAGGCUGAAAACUGACAUGAGAAAUGCCUUGCUCGACAGAGAACUGAGUCUUCAGCGCAGCACUGAUCAUAGCUAAAAGUCAUAAAAACAGUAACUGGAGUAUAAAUAUUUAAUAUAAAUCUUUAUGAUUCUAUAUACUAGAAAUGAUAGCAGAAAAAAACACAAUUUGUAGAACAUUGGUUCUCUUCCAAUUGUAUUUUACAAGAUUCAGCCUAUCAGUACAAUGACAUUUUUGCAAGUAUAAAAAAAAUAAAGCAAAACAGUAUUACAUUACACAGUCAAGACAACCAAAAUAGUGAUGUGCUUAACAGAACCUAUACAAGUCAAUCCUUACCCAGCCUUCCUUGCUUGUUUCCAAACAAAGUUGCUGUCUUUUUUUUUUAAUUUAUAUAUAUCUUUUUUUUUACAAAAUUAUGACUACUAGCUAAGAAAACAAUGCAUCUAUGCUACUUCUCAUCAGCCAUUUAUCAACUUGUUACCAAUUUCAUUUAAGCAUCAAAAAUCCAAGAUGCAAAUCUGCAAUUACAUGGUUUUGGCCUAAUCAGAUCUUUGAGAGCAGUCCUUUAAUGUCUCUAAAGCACACAACAACAUUGUUCUUCAGCUGAACGACUUCAGCGUGGCCGUUACAAUUCCCGAACAGCCAUCUUCCCACGGGCCUUCCUUUAGCUUCCACCGCACAGCAGCUCCAGCCGGCCCUGGUCAGCACAGCACACUCCAUCCCCACGGACCAGAUCCUGCUCAGGCCCAACACAGCCCUGGAGGCGGAAGGCAGUGGGAAACCGACAUCCCCAGGGGAGAGAAGGGAAAAGGGGCAGCCUUCAGAACCGGCCGUCAGCACUGAGCCGUGCGCUGCUGCCCGACACCCGCUGUGCUGCCGAGGUGCCACCCGGCUCUCAUCUUUUUAUUUCACCUUGGUAUCAGGCUUUGAUAAUGAGAUUAAAGCAGCUUAAUGGAGUUGGCUGAACCACCUGCCCGCUUUGCUGCACAGAUCCACAGAAGUCCUUUCCCCAUAAAAAUAACCAAUAUUUAACUUGAAAUUCUACUUACAGCGGAAGACGUUAUUUUAAUGUAAUAGCAAUUAGUUUCUCGUUGCACUUACUGGAACAAACCCAACAGCUGUGCUGAUAUCACACCAGUAGGUGGUUGGUCGUUUCUUUCAAUUGAUAAUAUGUUGUGAAUGUUUACUUUUUGGCCUUCACUUCCUGAAAUCCAUUCCAUUUAGCUAUAUGUACUAGAUUAAUUUCAGCUAUGUAAAUAGUAAUUUUACACUGGAAUUUUAGCUUUGUAAAGGUGUGCUCUCCGAGUCCUUCAAACGGAAGGUAACGGGAGCACGGGAUGGAGAGGAGACAAAGAAGGCACAGAUUACUUUCCUAACUCCCCAAAUUUAGGUGUGCUCAGUGCUAAUCCAGUCCCCCAGUCAGAAGAAAGAGGAAUGACAGCGAGGGACACACAAGGAGUUCUGCAGCCACAACUCACUGAUGUAAGCACCCCACCGCUGACGGGGCUCUCCUUGGUUUUAGUACAUUUGUGAAGUUACAAAUGCCAUCAUCUACCUUAAUGCCUACACUAACGGGAUGUGGCUGAUUCAGGUUGAUUUAGACAGAGAAUAAAGGUAAUGAUUUGCAAUGCAAUGCUAUAAGGAAGUCAGAACCAGAAGGAAAAAAAAAAAGAAGAUCAAUGAACAUGGGUAUUUACUUGGAUAGCAACACUCUUGUGUUUCUGGACAGCUUUUCUAACCAACCAACCAAGCUCUACCACUGCAGGCUGCUGCAGACCACAGGCCCACAUCACCACACGGUUACUGGGAGGCAGGCUGAUGAGAUCUGUACCCACUCUGCCCUUUCCUCAGCCACUCACUCCGGUCCCUCUCCUCACCGGGGCUCAAUGCUUUGUCAGUUGUGCCAAUCCGCCUAGUGCCCAAACAAGGUCUCUGGAAGAGUCUAGGAGGGGAGAAGGUGUGGGAUGAGAAGGACGCUUGCUUCCAGCAGUGAGUGAGAGCAAACAGUUCUGCACUUACACAUCUGGUUACUUUUAAUAACAUGUUUCAGUGCUCUGUUUAAAGAAGUGCCUCCUUAUAGCAUGCAUUCAGCUGAUCAAACACCUUCCCAAGGAAGAGUUGUAGCAGGUCUUGAAACAUUCAGGCUUUCAGAUACAUUUGAAUAAUAAUGAAAAAAAUCUCUUUCGAUAGAGAUGGAAGGUGAAAUGAAUCAAAGGUGGAAAAGCAGCCAGCAAUGGAAGUAUGAAAUAUUGUUUUGCUGUCCAAACGAAAAACACUCAAACCUAAAACAGGAUACAUACAAACACGUACAAUUAGCAACCAGUUGCCAUAAUCGGGUCAAAGACCACAAAUGAAACCGUAGACAAAAAUGAAACCAUUAAGAACUUUGGAAAUAGGAUGUUAUGUUUCCUAAACAUACAUAAAAUGAGAAUAAAUGAUAGAGCUGCAAGAUUAACUGCUUAAGUAGCACAGUUCUACAUUCAACCCCAAGUAACAGACGUAGUUGAGACCCCCUCGGUUACCAGCGCCAGUUUUGGUACGCACAGUUUGAUCCAGGCUGAAGUCAAACAGUGAGGUCCCACUCUGGAGACCAAGCGAUGCAAAUAAAGGCCGAAGGGAUUUAACUUUGCUUCAUGCAAAGACUUUGUUUUUAUGCCAGAAGCGUUUGACAUUUGUAGGAACUUACAUUUUGAAGAAGGUAGACUCAUUCUGCAAAGAAAGUUCAGAAUGAUAAAUAUCAGACUUGCAGCACAUUAAAAUAUUAAUAUUUAAUAUGUUUACUAAGCAGUCUCUGUAAUUUUUGUUGUGCAUCUAUGUAGAACUAAAUCCUCCAAUUUACAUUUCCGUUUCCCUCACUGAUCUGAUAAUCACAACACAGAUACAGCUGUAAAGUGCAAUGUAUGCUUUGGUUUCCUUAACUAAAGAAAGCACUUUCAUAAUGGUUUUAGCCAAAGAUAGGACGCACGUGUGUAAGGACGUUAUCAGAACAGAUGAUAAUCUCUUUUUACAAUCAGAGAACAGCUAUGAGCUACUGAACAAAAACGGGUUCCUUCUGGUAGCCUGGUGAUGUGUAAAGCAGUCCUAUGGUGUAAAUUGCUCAAAGGAAUCUGGAAGAAUUCCACGCUAAACAAGGAUUCGCUGUUGAAACUAAUUAAAAAUCUCAGAUUUAGAUUUACAUUUUAACGAACAGCUAAAAAAUAGUUGGCAAACCAUGAAGCAAUUCAAAUACAAGCCGACCAUUUUCAGAAUCUAUAAAUAUUUCCAGAACCAUCUCAUCAACAUAAAACAGGGGGAGCGGGGAUGGUUACAGGUUCACACGUCUGCGCAAAGCAUAUAUAAAGGUCAUGUUAUGUACAUUUUAUUUCAAUAAAGACAUAAGACAAACAGUGUAAAGAUGCCCAGAUGCCCUAAAGAUAAAUACAUUUAAAAGAUUCUCAUUAAAAUGAAUCUGUAGUAUUUCUUUC